This 731-nucleotide ribosomal RNA is filed under the name Bacillus sp. (in: firmicutes). Its description in RNAcentral is "bacterial SSU rRNA". It matches the Rfam family "Bacterial small subunit ribosomal RNA", at positions 22 to 735 of the family's 1533-position model. The record is from RNAcentral. Lineage: Bacteria; Bacillati; Bacillota; Bacilli; Caryophanales; Bacillaceae.
GCUCAGGACGAACGCUGGCGGCGUGCCUAAUACAUGCAAGUCGAGCGGACAGAUGGGAGCUUGCUCCCUGAUGUUAGCGGCGGACGGGUGAGUAACACGUGGGUAACCUGCCUGUAAGACUGGGAUAACUCCGGGAAACCGGGGCUAAUACCGGAUGGUUGUUUGAACCGCAUGGUUCAAACAUAAAAGGUGGCUUCGGCUACCACUUACAGAUGGACCCGCGGCGCAUUAGCUAGUUGGUGAGGUAAUGGCUCACCAAGGCAACGAUGCGUAGCCGACCUGAGAGGGUGAUCGGCCACACUGGGACUGAGACACGGCCCAGACUCCUACGGGAGGCAGCAGUAGGGAAUCUUCCGCAAUGGACGAAAGUCUGACGGAGCAACGCCGCGUGAGUGAUGAAGGUUUUCGGAUCGUAAAGCUCUGUUGUUAGGGAAGAACAAGUACCGUUCGAAUAGGGCGGUACCUUGACGGUACCUAACCAGAAAGCCACGGCUAACUACGUGCCAGCAGCCGCGGUAAUACGUAGGUGGCAAGCGUUGUCCGGAAUUAUUGGGCGUAAAGGGCUCGCAGGCGGUUUCUUAAGUCUGAUGUGAAAGCCCCCGGCUCAACCGGGGAGGGUCAUUGGAAACUGGGGAACUUGAGUGCAGAAGAGGAGAGUGGAAUUCCACGUGUAGCGGUGAAAUGCGUAGAGAUGUGGAGGAACACCAGUGGCGAAGGCGACUCUCUGGUCU